UCGCAUGGCGCAGCUACCAUGCAGUCGAGCGGUAACAGAUCCAGCUUGCUGGAUGCUGACGAGCGGCGGACGGGUGAGUAAUGCAUAGGAAUCUGCCCGAUAGUGGGGGAUAACCUGGGGAAACCCAGGCUAAUACCGCAUACGUCCUACGGGAGAAAGGGGGCUUCGGCUCCCGCUAUCGGAUGAGCCUAUGUCGGAUUAGCUAGUUGGUGAGGUAACGGCUCACCAAGGCCACGAUCCGUAGCUGGUCUGAGAGGAUGAUCAGCCACAUCGGGACUGAGACACGGCCCGAACUCCUACGGGAGGCAGCAGUGGGGAAUAUUGGACAAUGGGGGGAACCCUGAUCCAGCCAUGCCGCGUGUGUGAAGAAGGCCCUCGGGUUGUAAAGCACUUUCAGCGAGGAAGAACGCCUAGCGGUUAAUACCCGCUAGGAAAGACAUCACUCGCAGAAGAAGCACCGGCUAACUCCGUGCCAGCAGCCGCGGUAAUACGGAGGGUGCAAGCGUUAAUCGGAAUUACUGGGCGUAAAGCGCGCGUAGGUGGCUUGAUAAGCCGGUUGUGAAAGCCCCGGGCUCAACCUGGGAACGGCAUCCGGAACUGUCAAGCUAGAGUGCAGGAGAGGAAGGUAGAAUUCCCGGUGUAGCGGUGAAAUGCGUAGAGAUCGGGAGGAAUACCAGUGGCGAAGGCGGCCUUCUGGACUGACACUGACACUGAGGUGCGAAAGCGUGGGUAGCAAACAGGAUUAGAUCCC
Molecule: ribosomal RNA, 751 nt
Filed under: Vreelandella aquamarina
Lineage: Bacteria; Pseudomonadati; Pseudomonadota; Gammaproteobacteria; Oceanospirillales; Halomonadaceae
Description: bacterial SSU rRNA
Rfam family: Bacterial small subunit ribosomal RNA
Source: RNAcentral